Molecule: ribosomal RNA, 473 nt
Filed under: uncultured bacterium
Lineage: Bacteria
Description: bacterial SSU rRNA
Rfam family: Bacterial small subunit ribosomal RNA
Source: RNAcentral
AGCAGAGUUUGAUCCUGGCUCAGAGCGAACGCUGGCGGCAGGCUUAACACAUGCAAGUCGAGCGGAUGUAGCAAUACAUCAGCGGCAGACGGGUGAGUAACACGUGGGAACGUACCUUUUGGUUCGGAACAACACAGGGAAACUUGUGCUAAUACCGGAUAAGCCCUUACGGGGAAAGAUUUAUCGCCGAAAGAUCGGCCCGCGUCUGAUUAGCUAGUUGGUGAGGUAACGGCCCACCAAGGCGACGAUCAGUAGCUGGUCUGAGAGGAUGAUCAGCCACAUUGGGACUGAGACACGGCCCAAACUCCUACGGGAGGCAGCAGUGGGGAAUAUUGGACAAUGGGCGCAAGCCUGAUCCAGCCAUGCCGCGUGAGUGAUGAAGGCCCUAGGGUUGUAAAGCUCUUUUGUGCGGGAAGAUAAUGACGGUACCGCAAGAAUAAGCCCCGGCUAACUUCGUGCCAGCAGCCGCGGUA